GGACCAAUGUAGUGUAAUAACUUCCAGCACAUCCAUCAGGGGCUCAAGUAGAGGAGUGCUAGUUAGCGGCGCUAGCUAGUAGCAUGACAUAAUUACAUCUCAUUGGUUGUCUAAAUACAUUCAUCGUUUAUCUUGAUACGCAUGUAAACGAUCAUGAACAAUG
This is a long non-coding RNA of Etheostoma cragini (Arkansas darter), 163 nucleotides long. RefSeq lists it as uncharacterized. Lineage: Eukaryota; Metazoa; Chordata; Actinopteri; Perciformes; Percidae. The record is from RefSeq and is a predicted model, not a curated record. The transcript has 3 exons.